This 202-nucleotide long non-coding RNA is filed under the name Physcomitrium patens. Its description in RNAcentral is "long non-coding RNA (PPAT_LNC013609)". The record is from RNAcentral. Lineage: Eukaryota; Viridiplantae; Streptophyta; Bryopsida; Funariales; Funariaceae.
GAUUUAACAAUGACAAAUAAUUUAAUAGAUGUUAUUGUUAUAUAUUAGAUUUGUUUUAGAAAUUUAUGUAGGUUGUGUGCAUGGAAGAGAAAAAUGGUUAAGUGGUUAGGAUGUAAUUUUAAAUUCCAUUAAUUCAUGUGGAUUUUGAAUUAAAAAUUAUGAUUGUGUUAGAUUUUAAAAAAUAAGAUUAAUUAAGAAAAUC